GUGAGAUUGAAUGUCACCAACAGAUGCAAUCGACCGAAAACCUAUCAGAGCUUUGGUUUACAGUUCACACAAUCUCAUCAGGGCUGAACGACAAACCGAAUAUAACAGCUCCUGUGAUUCCCUAAGCAUCUGUAAAACAUGAGGAGGAUGAAUUUAUAAACGAGAAUCCUGGGCAGCGCACUGUAAACGAACGAUUGAAGGGGUGGAGGGGAAAGCUUUGGCGACGUCAAGAAAUUCUACGGAACUGACAUGGAGAGUUUGUUCUGUGAGAAGAAGCCAUUGUGGUUGGGAAAGAAGGGUUG
Molecule: unclassified non-coding RNA, 302 nt
Filed under: Hevea brasiliensis (rubber tree)
Lineage: Eukaryota; Viridiplantae; Streptophyta; Magnoliopsida; Malpighiales; Euphorbiaceae
Source: RNAcentral